UGCCAGACUCCUACGGGAGGCAGCAGUGAGGAAUAUUGGUCAAUGGGCGAGAGCCUGAACCAGCCAAGUCGCGUGAGGGAGUACUGCCCUAUGGGUUGUAAACCUCUUUUGUCGGGGAGCAAAAGCCGGACGUGUCCGUCUGUGAGAGUACCCGAAGAAAAAGCAUCGGCUAACUCCGUGCCAGCAGCCGCGGUAAUACGGAGGAUGCGAGCGUUAUCCGGAUUUAUUGGGUUUAAAGGGUGCGCAGGCGGAUUUUUAAGUCAGCGGUCAAAUCGUGGGGCUCAACCCCGGCCUGCCGUUGAAACUGGCGGCCUCGAGUGGGCGAGAAGUAUGCGGAAUGCGUGGUGUAGCGGUGAGAUGCAUAGAUAUCACGCAGAACUCCGAUUGCGAAGGCAGCAUACCGGCGCCCGACUGACGCUGAGGCACGAAAGCGUGGGUAUCGAACAGGAUUAGAUACCCCCGUAA
This 465-nucleotide ribosomal RNA is filed under the name uncultured bacterium. Its description in RNAcentral is "bacterial SSU rRNA". It matches the Rfam family "Bacterial small subunit ribosomal RNA", at positions 329 to 793 of the family's 1533-position model. The record is from RNAcentral.